CGCAGGGAAAGCACUUAGCUCAGAGAAGUGGAUUUGGGAAGCACUCAGCGAAUCUCAGCUCUCCAGGCUGUAUUUAGUGCUGGAAGCCAAGGGACUAUCAGCCGGAAAAAAAAUCCCACAUGACUUCCCAGGCAAAUCGCUCAGACUCUUCCUGAAUGAUAGUAUCCUCCCACUUCCCCUCUGCCUGUCCAGUUUCUACACAUCCCCCAAAGCCCUGCUCGGGUCUCACGCUUUCUCCGCGAAGCCCCUCGAACACCACGCGUGGUGCUUUCCUACCCCAGCAAACUGGAAGCACCUGGGCAGCUGCUUGUGAGUCCAGAUCCUUCUGCAGAAUCCUGCCAUGUCCAUGCAGCAGUUCAGGAAAACCCUGCGAUCUGUGGACAGGCUUGCUGUAUAGCCCUACUUUGACCGGCAGCGAACGUGGGCACAGAAGAAUCAGGAGAGGUGUCGCUGCGGACCCUUGAAAGACCGCACUUUGAACGGGGACUGGCGUGCAACUGUGGAAGCUUUUACUGGCGAAUCCCCCCUCCGUGGUGGCAGACAAGCUCCACUGGGAGAUAUUUACUUGCUAACAUGAGGGGGGUUAGGGGGCACCACCUGGAAGGUUCAAUGCUCCCCAGAUUUUCAGGGGAGUAUAAAUUGGGGAGGUUGGACCCGUGUGGCUGAAACAGAAUUUCUCAGCUCCGCCCGAGGCUCAGGUGUCCCAGCUGACAGCCUCCCGCCCCCCAACGUGUCACUGUCGCCUCCUGCGGAUAGGUCACGUCCGCGUCCAUACGUGCUCCUCCUCUCCAUUCCCAGGACGAGGGAGUGGGAGCCGUGAGAAGAUGCACCACGUCGUAUCUUGAAGGCAGCAGGGCCCAGGGGCCUAGGACACAGGGGCACCAGGGGUAGAAUAACUUGGGGCACGUUGCCUUUGCUCUCCCAGCCUCAGUUUCCCCUCCUCUCAAAUGGUGGCAAUCACAGCCUCUAUGUCGAGGGGUUUCCUGAGCACUGAUGAGACCCUAGUCAUUACUUUGAGUAUACAUUUAUCAUAUGCUGAGUGCUAAACGAAUACAAACCAUCUUGGUUUUGUUCUCAUUAACCUCUGCAUCUCUUGCAGAGUCUAAGCCAUAAGCUGUUCAACGAGUGUUAAAAACACAAAUAAACAGGGCGCUUGGGGGGCCCCGUCGGUUGAG
This 1175-nucleotide long non-coding RNA is filed under the name Felis catus (domestic cat). RNAcentral describes it as "lncRNA (ENSFCAG00000052430.1)". The record is from RNAcentral. Lineage: Eukaryota; Metazoa; Chordata; Mammalia; Carnivora; Felidae.